CAGUCGCCACGGUAAUACGGAGGGAGCUAGCGUUGUUCGGAAUUACUGGGCGUAAAGCGCACGUAGGCGGUUAUUCAAGUCAGAGGUGAAAGCCCGGGGCUCAACCCCGGAACUGCCUUUGAAACUGGAUGACUAGAAUCUUGGAGAGGUCAGUGGAAUUCCGAGUGUAGAGGUGAAAUUCGUAGAUAUUCGGAAGAACACCAGUGGCGAAGGCGACUGACUGGACAAGUAUUGACGCUGAGGUGCGAAAGCGUGGGGAGCAAACAGGAUUAGAUACCCGGGUAGUCCCUGUCUCUUAUAC
Molecule: ribosomal RNA, 301 nt
Filed under: uncultured bacterium
Lineage: Bacteria
Description: partial 16S ribosomal RNA
Rfam family: Bacterial small subunit ribosomal RNA
Source: RNAcentral